CAAUAAGCGGAGGAAAAGAAACCAACAGGGAUUGCCCUAGUAACGGCGAGUGAAGCGGCAACAGCUCAAAUUUGAAAUCUGGCUCUCGGGCCCGAGUUGUAAUUUGUAGAGGAUACUUUUGAUGCGGUGCCUUCCGAGUUCCCUGGAACGGGACGCCAUAGAGGGUGAGAGCCCCGUCUGGUUGGAUGCCAAAUCUCUGUAAAGUUCCUUCAACGAGUCGAGUAGUUUGGGAAUGCUGCUCUAAAUGGGAGGUAUAUGUCUUCUAAAGCUAAAUACCGGCCAGAGACCGAUAGCGCACAAGUAGAGUGAUCGAAAGAUGAAAAGCACUUUGAAAAGAGAGUUAAAAAGUACGUGAAAUUGUUGAAAGGGAAGCGUUUAUGACCAGACUUGGGCUUGGUUAAUCAUCUGGGGUUCUCCCCAGUGCACUUUUCCAGUCCAGGCCAGCAUCAGUUUUCCCCGGGGGAUAAAGGCGGCGGGAAUGUGGCUCUCUUCGGGGAGUGUUAUAGCCCACCGUGUAAUACCCUGGGGGGGACUGAGGUUCGCGCAUCUGCAAGGAUGCUGGCGUAAUGGUCAUCAACGACCCGUCUUGAAACACGGACCAAGGAGUCGUCUUCGUAUGCGAGUGUUCGGGUGUCAAACCCCUACGCGUAAUGAAAGUGAACGCAGGUGAGAGCUUCGGCGCAUCAUCGACCGAUCCUGAUGUUCUCGGAUGGAUUUGAGUAAGAGCAUACGGGGCCGGACCCGAAAGAAGGUGAACUAUGCCUGUAUAGGGUGAAGCCAGAGGAAACUCUGGUGGAGGCUCGCAGCGGUUCUGACGUGCAAAUCGAUCGUCAAAUAUGGGCAUGGGGGCGAAAGACUAAUCGA
RNAcentral lists this ribosomal RNA (864 nucleotides) under Fusarium nirenbergiae. RNAcentral's name for it is "partial large subunit ribosomal RNA". It matches the Rfam family "Eukaryotic large subunit ribosomal RNA", at positions 44 to 938 of the family's 3401-position model. The record is from RNAcentral. Lineage: Eukaryota; Fungi; Ascomycota; Sordariomycetes; Hypocreales; Nectriaceae.